This 325-nucleotide ribosomal RNA is filed under the name uncultured soil bacterium. RNAcentral describes it as "bacterial SSU rRNA". It matches the Rfam family "Bacterial small subunit ribosomal RNA", at positions 26 to 361 of the family's 1533-position model. The record is from RNAcentral.
AGAUUGAACGCUGGCGGCAUGCCUAACACAUGCAAGUCGAACGGGAGUAGCAAUACUCUAGUGGCGGACGGGUGAGGAAUACGUAGGAAUUUGCCCUUAAGUGGGGGAUAACCCGGGGAACCCGGAUUAAUACCGCAUGACCUCGAAAGAGCAAAGUGGGGGAUCGCAAGACCUCACGCUUUUGGAGAAGCCUACGUCGGAUUAGCUAGUUGGUGAGGUAAUGGCUCACCAAGGCGACGAUCCGUAACUGGUCGUAGAGAGGAUGAUCAGUCACGACCGGAACUGAGACACGGUCCGGACUCCGUACGGGAGCAGCAGUGGGAAU